AGGACGAACGCUGGCGGCGUGCUUCAUACAUGCAAGUCGAACGAGAAGCUGACUUCGGUCAGUGGAAAGUGGCGGACGGGUGAGUAAUGUGUAGAGAAUCUGCCCCAGAGCGGGGGAUAGCCUUCGGAAACGAGGAUUAAUACCCCAUAUGAGCGUAGCUGAAAUGCUAUUCUUGAAAACUCCGGUGCUCUGGGAUGAGUCUGCAUCUGAUUAGCUAGUAGGCGGUGUAAUGGACCACCUAGGCGACGAUCAGUAGCUGGUUUGAGAGGAUGAUCAGCCACAAUGGGACUGAGACACGGCCCAUACUCCUACGGGAGGCAGCAGUAGGGAAUUUUGCGCAAUGGGGGAAACCCUGACGCCAGCAACGCCGCGUGAAUGAAGAAGCCCUUCGGGGUGUAAAGUUCUGUCAGUGGGGACGAAACUUGACGGUACCCACAGAGGAAGCAUCGGCUAACUCCGUGCCAGCAGCGGC
Molecule: ribosomal RNA, 472 nt
Filed under: uncultured bacterium
Lineage: Bacteria
Description: bacterial SSU rRNA
Rfam family: Bacterial small subunit ribosomal RNA
Source: RNAcentral